GCAAGUCGAGCGAUGAAACACCUUCGGGUGUGAAUUAGCGGCGAACGGGUGAAGGAACACGUGAAGAAUCUGCCUUCAACUCUGGGAUAACUCCGGGAAAACCGGGGCUAAUACCGGAUAUGAGCCUUGAUCGCAUGAUCGGGGCUGGAAAGUUUUUCGGUUGAAGAUGACUUCGCGGCCUAUCAGCUUGUUGGUGAGGUAAUGGCUCACCAAGGCGACGACGGGUAGCCGGCCUGAGAGGGCGACCGGCCACACUGGGACUGAGACACGGCCCAGACUCCUACGGGAGGCAGCAGUGGGGAAUAUUGGGCAAUGGAGGAAACUCUGACCCAGCGACGCCGCGUGAGGGAUGAAGGCCUUCGGGUUGUAAACCUCUUUCAGUAGGGAAGAAAGCGAAAGUGACGGUACCUACAGAAGAAGCACCGGCUAACUAUGUGCCAGCAGCCGCGGUAAUACAUAGGGUGCAAGCGUUGUCCGGAAUUAUUGGGCGUAAAGAGCUCGUAGGUGGUUCGAUACGUCGGAAUGUGAAAAUCAGGGGCUCAACCCCUGACCUGCAUCCGAUACGGUCGAGCUAGAGUUUGGUAGGGGAGACUGGAAUUCCUGGUGUAGCGGUGGAAUGCGCAGAUAUCAGGAGGAACACCGAUGGCGAAGGCAGGUCUCUGGGCCAAUACUGACACUGAGGAGCGAAAGCGUGGGGAGCGAACAGGAUUAGAUACCCUGGUAGUCCACGCCGUAAACGGUGGGCGCUAGUUGUGCGAACCUUCCACGGUUUGUGCGACGCAGCUAACGCAUUAAGCGCCCC
Molecule: ribosomal RNA, 802 nt
Filed under: uncultured Actinomycetales bacterium
Lineage: Bacteria; Bacillati; Actinomycetota; Actinomycetes; Actinomycetales
Description: bacterial SSU rRNA
Rfam family: Bacterial small subunit ribosomal RNA
Source: RNAcentral